Molecule: ribosomal RNA, 375 nt
Filed under: uncultured bacterium
Lineage: Bacteria
Description: bacterial SSU rRNA
Rfam family: Bacterial small subunit ribosomal RNA
Source: RNAcentral
UAAUACAGAGGGUGCAAGCGUUAAUCGGAUUUACUGGGCGUAAAGCGUGAGUAGGUGGCUCGCUAAGUCGGUUGUGAAAGCCCUGGGCUCAACCUGGGAAUUGCAGUCGAUACUGGCGAGCUAGAGUUCGGUAGAGGGUGGCGGAAUUCCCGGUGUAGCGGUGAAAUGCGUAGAUAUCGGGAGGAACAUCGAUGGCGAAGGCAACCACCUGGGCCUGAACUGACACUGAGACACGAAAGCGUGGGUAGCAAACAGGAUUAGAUACCCUGGUAGUCCACGCCGUAAACGAUGGGAACCUGACGUCGGUUUGCUCUGCGAAUCGGUGUCGUAGCUAACGCGCUAAGUUCCCCGCCUGGGGAGUACGGCCGCAAGGUU